RNAcentral lists this microRNA precursor (94 nucleotides) under Sorghum bicolor (sorghum). RNAcentral describes it as "MIR5387 microRNA precursor family". It matches the Rfam family "MIR5387 microRNA precursor family". Lineage: Eukaryota; Viridiplantae; Streptophyta; Magnoliopsida; Poales; Poaceae. The record is from Rfam by way of RNAcentral.
UUGUAACACGAACCGGUGCUAAAGGGUCCCUGCCCCGACAGCAUCUGUCAGUAGACGUUGGGCAGGACUCUUUAGCACCGGUUCGUGUUACGAA